UACGGAGGACCCGAGCGUUAUCCGGAUUCAUUGGGUUUAAAGGGUGCGUAGGCGGAUUGGCAAGUCAGAGGUGAGAGCCUGCAGCUUAACUGUAGAAUUGCCUUAGAUACUGCUAAUCUUGAAUGUGGUUGAGGUGGAUGGAAUGUGUCAUGUAGCGGUGAAAUGCUUAGAUAUGACACAGAACACCGAUCGCGAAGGCAGUUCACCAAACCAUUAUUGACGCUGAGGCACGAAAGCGUGGGGAGCAAACAGG
Molecule: ribosomal RNA, 253 nt
Filed under: uncultured bacterium
Lineage: Bacteria
Description: partial 16S ribosomal RNA
Rfam family: Bacterial small subunit ribosomal RNA
Source: RNAcentral